Molecule: transfer RNA, 66 nt
Filed under: Gryllodes sigillatus
Lineage: Eukaryota; Metazoa; Arthropoda; Insecta; Orthoptera; Gryllidae
Description: tRNA-Asn
Source: RNAcentral
UUAAUUGAAACCAAAUAGAGGUAUAUUAUUGUUAAUAAUAUCAUUGAGUCAAGGAUUCCAAUUAAG